This 499-nucleotide ribosomal RNA is filed under the name uncultured bacterium. RNAcentral's name for it is "partial 16S ribosomal RNA". It matches the Rfam family "Bacterial small subunit ribosomal RNA", at positions 899 to 1397 of the family's 1533-position model. The record is from RNAcentral.
ACUCAAAUGAAUUGACGGGGGCCCGCACAAGCAGUGGAGCAUGUGGUUUAAUUCGAUGCAACGCGAAGAACCUUACCUGGGCUCGAAAUGUAGAGGACGAUAUCAGAGAUGAUAUUUCCCGAAAGGGUCUUUACAUAGGUGCUGCAUGGCUGUCGUCAGCUCGUGCCGUGAGGUGUUUGGUUAAGUCCAGCAACGAGCGCAACCCUUAUCGUUAGUUGCCAACGCGUGAAGGCGGGAACUCUAACGAGACUGCCUGGGUUAACCAGGAGGAAGGUGAGGAUGACGUCAAGUCCGCAUGGCCUUUAUGUCCAGGGCUACACACGUGCUACAAUGGUCGGUACAGAAGGCGGCGAAACCGCAAGGCGGAGCAAAUCCUUUAAAACCGAUCUCAGUUCAGAUUGUAGACUGCAACUCGUCUACAUGAAGUUGGAAUUGCUAGUAAUGGCGUGUCAGCAACAACGCCGUGAAUACGUUCCCGGGCCUUGCACACACCGCCCGU